AGUGAGCAAAAGAACAGAGUGGCACAAUGACAUAGAUCGAGUGGCAUUCGAUAAAGUUAAUGUGAAAUGACACUAGAGUUAGUGUGAUGUAAAGAAUUAAAGUGAUGUAAAGAAUGAUGAAAAUAACGACGAGUAAAGCUAAAGUAAAGUGGGCAACAAGAACAAGAAUGCUAGAGUUAGCAAAAGUAAAAGAAAUGCAAAGAACAAUGAUUGCUAGAGUUAGCAAGAGUAAUGAGAAUGUAAAGAAUGUGAUUGCAUGAGUUUGCAACAUAAUGUGAUUAAAGAACACUAGAGCUAGUGUAAAGUCAAGAUUGAACUUAUAAUCCUUUGAGUUAAGGAUAUGAUCAUACUUGCUAUGAGUUCCGUGCUCGAGGGCGGUCGCUCCCCCUCGGGCGAUGCGCUCCGGAGUUAUGCAUCCGGGUUGGAGUAGACCCGUAAGGACGGUCCUAGCUGGUGAGUUCCUGCGAUGAUGGACUUAAUGUGAAGCAAGUUAAUGUGGCGAAACCCCCGGGUUAGCCUUGAGAUUAAAAGAACAAAGAGCAAAGAACAAAGUGUAAAGAACAAAGAACAAGAGUAAAGUGAAAAGAAUAAAGAAUUUGCAUAAUCUGCAUAUAUUUAAUGUUGAGCAUAUUUCUUGCUAUUUGUUCAGGCAUAUUAGCAUCAUGUAAUAGAAUGGUUACUAUCUUACUUAUCCUUUCUAUUAUGCCUGAGUUAGUCCUAGUGGGAAAGUCGGUGAUGUUGGGGCCGAACCCACUGGGAACUUUGUUGUAGUUCUCACCCCACUAUUUCCACAGAGCCGGGACCGAGUGAGCCGGCGAGCGACCGAGGUAAAGGAAUCGCGCCUUAGUCAGAGGCCACCGAUGUUGGGUUUCAUUUUGUAGUAAAGUACCUUAUGAUCAUCUUUUGUAUUUGAUGAUUAGUGAUGUAAAGAAAAGAUGUAAAGCUUAUUUUGAGGAAAAUGUGAUGUAAGAAAGAAAUGAUGAAGUUAUGUAAUGAAAUGCAAAGAAUUCAAAAAAUUACUAGUUGAAUGCAAUGUAUAUGAUCCAAAAAGAAUCAUGUUACUUGUGAAUGUUUAGUUUCCUUUUCUUUCACUAAUGGCUAUUGCUUACCCUCGUGUAAGCCGUUUGUGUAUGUUUCCGCUAGUGCACUUCUUAUUGAAAAUGUACAUGUGAUGAGCCUUGGGCGGAUAGGGGAAACUCUGUCCGUUCGGCGUCUGUUUGACGUGCUCGGGUCGGGCCAAAUUGGCAUCGGUCCCGGGGCGUGACAUGAAUCAUUUAAUGCAAUAAUUUCAGGAGAUGCAGAAAUAUCAGAUGCAGAAAUAUCAGAUGCAGAAAUGUUAUCAUUCACAGGCAAUACAAAAGGAGAAUCAUCAUCAUCAUCAUUCAACAAAGCAUUGGAAAAAUCAUUCACAGAAG
RNAcentral lists this long non-coding RNA (1415 nucleotides) under Ananas comosus (pineapple). Its description in RNAcentral is "long non-coding RNA (ACOM_LNC043054)". The record is from RNAcentral. Lineage: Eukaryota; Viridiplantae; Streptophyta; Magnoliopsida; Poales; Bromeliaceae.